Molecule: long non-coding RNA, 664 nt
Filed under: Mus musculus (house mouse)
Lineage: Eukaryota; Metazoa; Chordata; Mammalia; Rodentia; Muridae
Description: long non-coding RNA chr14:31229669-31230333
Source: RNAcentral
AGAUGAAAAAACAAGAAAGAGCUUUUGCUGUACUGAACUUCAAACCCGAAGACUUUGGGUUUAUUUCCUCUACCCUGGCACCCCCAGGGUGCUGAGAUCUGAACUUGCACCAUUUGCUUAUCUGGAGGACAGAAGCCCUGAACUCUACCUGCCCAAACCCAGCUUCCUUCUGUUUGUGGGCAUGGUCCCUUGGGAUACUGGUAGAUAAAAGAAGACGAGAGAGGAGUGGGUAAAAGCUGGAGGAGAGUUGGGGAGACAGAGGAGAGGAAAGGGGUGGAGGAAACCCUGAGAAUUCAGAAAGUGGCAACCUAGCCCCCCCAGUGGCAUUUGGACAGAGUCUAGGUUUGGCAAGCUCUGGGCAGGGUCCUCUGGGGAAAUGGCCCUGGAAAACACAGGAAAAAGGAACUCGGUAUCCUAAACAGUGCACCCCUAUACCUGGAAACAUAGGACAGCUCUUGCCCACUGCCACCUUGCCCACGGUACUGUACUACGAACACCCUGAAAACGCCCACAUGUGUGAACUGUGUCUGUUUUCAAAUGGGCCUUGUGGCUUCUCCGUCUUCCAAGCAUACUUAUUGAAUUGUUGUUGAUAUUUUUAUUGUCAUGUUGCCUUGAGUUCUGAUGAGAAAAAGCAGAGCCUAUAAAGAAAGGAAUGAAGAACUAU